Long non-coding RNA from Xyrauchen texanus (razorback sucker), 1433 nucleotides. RefSeq lists it as uncharacterized. NCBI's taxonomy places the organism in Eukaryota, Metazoa, Chordata, Actinopteri, Cypriniformes, Catostomidae. The record is from RefSeq and is a predicted model, not a curated record. The transcript is spliced from 3 exons.
UUCGGUUUUCGACACCGUGGAAUUCAAAGCGCCACAGUGUGGGUCAGAAGAACUCUGUUCAGGACGCUCAAACCCCUGCAACCAGUUGUUGACACCGCUACAUAUAUAGAGAUUGCUAAUGUGACGUCAUCGUGACGUAUUACCAGUGGUGAACGCAAAGCAUUUUGGGAAUCCGCGGCACAAACAGAAGGCACCAGACUUGAUUGCAUGGAGGGAAGAACGCAGUGUUCAAGAUGCCGUCUACCUGCUGUGUUAUAAACUGCAAUAGUCGUUCUCACGAUUGAAGUGGCAUAAAGCUUAAGAACGGAAAAUCCUUUUAUCGUUUUCCGGCGUGGAAAAAUAAUAGUACAAGCCAUGUUUCAGAGGUGACAAAAAGUGCGACGAAUGGCAUGGAUAGCAGCAGUAAGGAGGCCCAAGAUUACCAUACAUGAUGGCAAACCUGCCUAUGAAAUGUUGGAGUGUGAUCCUGACUGGGCCUGGGAUAUGUGGUGCCUUGUGAGGGGGAGGAUAAGACUUUGCUGGAUAAAAUUGUGGUUGUGUGCUGUGCUUUGACCAAUAUGUGUCCAAGUAUUGUUGUGAAGCCGUCGUGUUAGAAUUAUACACCAUGCUCCCAUCUAAUAUGUAAAAAUGUUUUUUUUUUUUUUUUCAAAAGAUUUUGUAAUGUCACUUCUCACAUGUAAUGAUUUUUAGCAAUCUCUGUAAAUAAAAUACACAAAGACUGAAUGAAAUUCUGCCUCCUUUAUCUGUAUUAAGGAAGAAUUGUGCAAAAUCAGUUUGGAUGCAAUACACAAUUACAUAACUUAAAUGGUAGUAACAACCAACUAAAUUUCAGUUUCUUUACAUAUUUAACAUGUAAAUACAUUUAGAUGAAGACAUUUAUAAAGAGUCCAUAGAAAAGAUAACUGGAAAUGUAUGAGGUAGGUUGUGGGUGAUAAGUCACAGACGUGUGCAAGCAUCGCAUUGCCAUAACUCUUCUCUGGCUAGUGCGCUGUCCCACGCAACCUAAAUGGAACCACUGUAUAGGCCAGUUCUGAUUAUCGCAAGCAGCCAUGUCUGCAAACAUUCAGGCUGUCUGCAAAAGCACCACAACACAGCCUUUUCAGGUUGACCUCCCGACCAGUCACUAUGCGCGUAAGAAUCCAGUCCUUCGAUUCACUUUAUUUUCUCGUCAUAUCUCGUCUUUGCAUUAGGAUGUAGUUUUAGGCAGUAUGGUCCGACAAUGUUUUCUUUAGACCGCUGCAUUUUGUAGGAUUAUAUUCUGUUUUUCACGCUAAUUUUUUUAUUAUUUUCAUGCCACUAGCCUGCUAUGCGAUGCCAGCCCAUGUAAACGGGCCAAACAUACCCAUAAUUCUUUGCGUUCUGAUGACGUUGCCGCCCAGUUGGUCACAUGUCUUAGCAAUCUCGUCAUUUUACUGUCCCACAACUAAUGUCAU